This is a long non-coding RNA of Populus euphratica (Euphrates poplar), 247 nucleotides long. RefSeq lists it as uncharacterized. The record is from RefSeq and is a predicted model, not a curated record. Lineage: Eukaryota; Viridiplantae; Streptophyta; Magnoliopsida; Malpighiales; Salicaceae. The transcript has 2 exons.
CUUUGUAUUUAUCAUCACUGGUUCCUGAGUGCAGAGCUUGGCAUCUUAGUCGGCAAAGGUGGAAUACAUGGAAAUGUGUUCCGUAUCAAACCACCAAUGUGCUUCACCAAAGAUGAUGCAGAUUGUCUUGUUGACGCGUUGGACUAUUCAAUGUCAAAGUUGUGAGGAGCUACCUGCCAGAAGCUGAGAUGAAUAUGUAAUUAUUCACAUUUUUUGGCAUCGAUCUCUUCUGAUAGGUUGCUUUCAA